UUAACAUGCAGUCGAACGGCAGCACGGGAGCAAUCCUGGUGGCGAGUGGCGAACGGGUGAGUAAUACAUCGGAACGUGUCCUGUAGUGGGGGAUAGCCCGGCGAAAGCCGGAUUAAUACCGCAUACGCUCUACGGAGGAAAGGGGGGGAUCUUAGGACCUCCCGCUACAGGGGCGGCCGAUGGCAGAUUAGCUAGUUGGUGGGGUAAAGGCCUACCAAGGCGACGAUCUGUAGCUGGUCUGAGAGGACGACCAGCCACACUGGGACUGAGACACGGCCCAGACUCCUACGGGAGGCAGCAGUGGGGAAUUUUGGACAAUGGGCGCAAGCCUGAUCCAGCAAUGCCGCGUGUGUGAAGAAGGCCUUCGGGUUGUAAAGCACUUUUGUCCGGAAAGAAAACCUCUGGGUUAAUACCCCGGGGGGAUGACGGUACCGGAAGAAUAAGCACCGG
This 450-nucleotide ribosomal RNA is filed under the name Burkholderia sp. BSF2(12). RNAcentral's name for it is "bacterial SSU rRNA". It matches the Rfam family "Bacterial small subunit ribosomal RNA", at positions 50 to 496 of the family's 1533-position model. The record is from RNAcentral. RNAcentral also lists the same sequence under 1 other name. Lineage: Bacteria; Pseudomonadati; Pseudomonadota; Betaproteobacteria; Burkholderiales; Burkholderiaceae.